UAACUGACGCUGAGGCACGAAAGCGUGGGUAGCAAACAGGAUUAGAUACCCUGGUAGUCCACGCUGUAAACGAUGAUUACUAGGUGUGGGGGGACUGACCCCUUCCGUGCCGGAGUUAACACAAUAAGUAAUCCACCUGGGGAGUACGGCCGCAAGGUUGAAACUCAAAGGAAUUGACGGGGGCCCGCACAAGCAGUGGAGUAUGUGGUUUAAUUCGAAGCAACGCGAAGAACCUUACCAGGUCUUGACAUCCAACUAACGAGAUAGAGAUAUGUUAGGUGCCCUUCGGGGAAAGUUGAGACAGGUGGUGCAUGGUUGUCGUCAGCUCGUGUCGUGAGAUGUUGGGUUAAGUCCCGCAACGAGCGCAACCCUUGCUAUUAGUUGCUACGCAAGAGCACUCUAAUAGGACUGCCGUUGACAAAACGGAGGAAGGUGGGGACGACGUCAAAUCAUCAUGCCCCUUAUGACCUGGGCUACACACGUACUACAAUGGCCAUCAACAGAGGGAAGCAAAACAGCGAUGUGGAGCAAACCCCUAAAAAUGGUCUCAGUUCAGAUUGCAGGCUGCAACCCGCCUGCAUGAAGUCGGAAUGCUAGUAA
Molecule: ribosomal RNA, 600 nt
Filed under: uncultured bacterium
Lineage: Bacteria
Description: bacterial SSU rRNA
Rfam family: Bacterial small subunit ribosomal RNA
Source: RNAcentral